UAGGGAAUCUUCGGCAAUGGGGGGAACCCUGACCGAGCAACGCCGCGUGAGUGAAGAAGGUUUUCGGAUCGUAAAGCUCUGUUGUUAAGGAAGAACGAGUGUGAGAAUGGAAAGUUCAUACUGUGACGGCACUUAACCAGAAAGGGAUGGCUAACUACGUGCCAGCAGCCGCGGUAAUACGUAGGUCCCGAGCGUUGUCCGGAUUUAUUGGGCGUAAAGCGAGCGCAGGCGGUUAGAUAAGUCUGAAGUUAAAGGCAGUGGCUCAACCAUUGUAGGCUUUAGAAACUGUUUAACUUGAGUGCAGAAGGGGAGAGUGGAAUUCCAUGUGUAGCGGUGAAAUGCGUAGAUAUAUGGAGGAACACCGGUGGCGAAAGCGGCUCUCUGGUCUGUUACUGACGCUGAGGCUCGAAAGCGUGGGGAGCGAACAGG
This 429-nucleotide ribosomal RNA is filed under the name Bacteroidota bacterium. RNAcentral's name for it is "Bacteroidetes bacterium partial 16S ribosomal RNA". It matches the Rfam family "Bacterial small subunit ribosomal RNA", at positions 355 to 776 of the family's 1533-position model. Lineage: Bacteria; Pseudomonadati; Bacteroidota. The record is from RNAcentral.